CAAUAGCGUAUAUUUAAGUUGCUGCAGUUAAGAAGCUCGUAGUUGGAUUUCGGGUGGGAAUGGCCGGUCCGCCGUUUCGGUGUGCACUUGCUACGCCCACCUUGCUGCCGGGGACGUGCUCUUGAGUUCACGCUCGGGACACGGAGUCGGCGAGGUUACUUUGAGUAAAUUAGAGUGUUCAAAGCAGGCCUACGCUCUGAAUACAUUAGCAUGGAAUAACACGAUAGGACUCUGGUCUAUCUUGUUGGUCUGUAGGACCGGAGUAAUGAUUAAGAGGGACAGUCGGGGGCAUUCGUAUUUCAUUGUCAGAGGUGAAAUUCUUGGAUUUAUGAAAGACGAACUACUGCGAAAGCAUUUGCCAAGGAUGUUUUCAUUAA
Molecule: ribosomal RNA, 377 nt
Filed under: uncultured eukaryote
Lineage: Eukaryota
Description: partial 18S ribosomal RNA
Rfam family: Eukaryotic small subunit ribosomal RNA
Source: RNAcentral